AUGGAGCUGGGAACACUUGCGGUUCUUUGUCUUGUCACCGGCGCGACGGAAAUGCGGAUGACGGAUGUGGUGCAGCGUCAAGUGAGGAGCCUGUCCUUUCCGGAAAACAGCGAUAUGGGGUUGUUCUUUGCACUUGCCGUUCCUCUGGACGACCCGAGCUCGACAAUGUCGGUGGCGUUGUUCUUCGAGGCGGAAUACGACCUGCCAACGAAUUUGACGGAAAUCGAAUUCGCAGGUGACGAAGGCGGAUUCAGGAGGAACGCCGGUCGGCAGCGACGAAGAACCAUAGACCGUACCAUAAUCUACGCCAUGCUGGAGUCGAAAUUCGAAUCGCUGGGCUAUCCGGGACGUCAGUGCCUCCUUAGGUCCAUAUGUGAGACAAAGCGGCGAGCCGUGCAUGUUGACAACGGCCUCCUCGGCGAUCUCCUGCGAAUCAUACUCGCACCCAGUUCGUCCACGUUCGAAGAAGACUUUCGUCAGGAAUAUAUCGACGCGGAGAAUGUUAAAGAGACAGAGGAAUGCCUACGAAUAUACUCCUCCUGCGAGCUCAACAUUUACGACUUCAUAACUUUUCAGGAACCAUGAACUGUUUUUUUCCUCACCUCUUCGGGAAGUGCAUCGCGCGUGUAGAAUUUUCUACGGGUGCAUCCGUGUAGAAGUGCAACUCUAUUUUCACGCGACUUGAAUAUUUUCGCCGUAUCGGUAGAUGGUACACUGCAGAGACUGUUUCUGUACUGAUUUGUAAAGAAAUAGGAAAAAGAAAGAAAGAAAUAAAAAGA
Long non-coding RNA from Ooceraea biroi (clonal raider ant), 779 nucleotides. RefSeq lists it as uncharacterized. The record is from RefSeq and is a predicted model, not a curated record. NCBI's taxonomy places the organism in Eukaryota, Metazoa, Arthropoda, Insecta, Hymenoptera, Formicidae.